UAAGCUAUGAACCGAAGCUUGGGGUGCAUAUUUUUAUAUGCGCGGUAGAGGAGCGUUCCGUAAGCCUGUGAAGGUGAGUUGAGAAGCUUGCUGGAGGUAUCGGAAGUGCGAAUGCUGACAUGAGUAACGAUAAUAUGGGUGAAAAACCCAUACGCCGAAAGCCUAAGGUUUCCUUGCGCAACGUUAAUCGGCGCAGGGUUAGUCGGCCCCUAAGGCGAGGGCGAAAGCCGUAGUCGAUGGGAAGCAGGUUAAUAUUCCUGCACCUCGCGUGAGUGCGAUGGAGGGACGGAGAAGGCUAGGUGUACCGGGCGUUGGUUGUCCCGGGGAAAGGAGGUAGGCUGGGUCCUUAGGAAAAUCCGGGGGUCCUUUUAAAGCCGAGCACCGAGACGAGUCUUUUUUAGAUGAAGUCACUGAUGCCACGCUUCCAGGAAAAGCUUCUAAGCUUCAGCUCACGAAGACCGUACCGUAAACCGACACAGGUAGGUAGGAUGAGAAUUCUCAGGCGCUUGAGAGAACUCGGGUGAAGGAACUAGGCAACAUGGCACCGUAACUUCGGGAGAAGGUGCACCCUUUUUGGUGGCGCGUGCGCGUUAUAGCUGAAGAGGGUCGCAGAAACCAGGCCGCUGCGACUGUUUAUCAAAAACACAGCACUCUGCAAACACGAAAGUGGACGUAUAGGGUGUGACGCCUGCCCGGUGCUGGAAGGUUAAUUGAUGGGGUUAGCUGUAAAAGGCGAAGCUCUUGAUCGAAGCCCCAGUAAACGGCGGCCGUAACUAUAACGGUCCUAAGGUAGCGAAAUUCCUUGUCGGGUAAGUUCCGACCUGCACGAAUGGCGUAACGACAGCGGCGCUGUCUCCACCCGAGACUCAGUGAAAUUGAAAUCGCUGUGAAGAUGCAGCGUUCCCGUGGCAAGACGGAAAGACCCCGUGAACCUUUACUAUAGCUUUACACUGAACGUUGAGUUCGUCUGUGUAGGAUAGGUGGGAGGCUAUGAAACCACGACGCUAGUUGUGUUGGAGCCAUCCUUGAAAUACCACCCUGUCGUGCUUGACGUUCUAACCUAGUUCCGUUAUCCGGAUCAGGGACAGUGUAUGGUGGGUAGUUUGACUGGGGCGGUCUCCUCCCAAAGAGUAACGGAGGAGCACGAAGGUACGCUCAGCGCGGUCGGACAUCGCGCACUGUGUGCAAAGGCAUAAGCGUGCUUGACUGCGAGAUCGACGGAUCAAGCAGGUACGAAAGUAGGUCUUAGUGAUCCGGUGGUUCUGUAUGGAAGGGCCAUCGCUCAACGGAUAAAAGGUACUCCGGGGAUAACAGGCUGAUACCGCCCAAGAGUUCAUAUCGACGGCGGUGUUUGGCACCUCGAUGUCGGCUCAUCACAUCCUGGGGCUGUAGUCGGUCCCAAGGGUAUGGCUGUUCGCCAUUUAAAGUGGUACGCGAGCUGGGUUCAGAACGUCGUGAGACAGUUCGGUCCCUAUCUGCCAUGGGCGUUGGAGAUUUGAGAGGGGCUGCUCCUAGUACGAGAGGACCGGAGUGGACGAACCUCUGGUGUUCCGGUUGUCACGCCAGUGGCAUUGCCGGGUAGCUAUGUUCGGAAGCGAUAACCGCUGAAAGCAUCUAAGCGGGAAGCGCGCCUCAAGAUGAGAUCUCCCGGGAUGUAAAUCCCCUAAAGGAACCAUGUAGACUACGUGGUGGAUAGGUCAGGUGUGUAAGUGCAGCAAUGCAUUGAGCUAACUGAUACUAAUGAUCCGUGUGGCUUGACCAU
RNAcentral lists this ribosomal RNA (1762 nucleotides) under Xylella fastidiosa EB92.1. RNAcentral describes it as "bacterial LSU rRNA". It matches the Rfam family "Bacterial large subunit ribosomal RNA", at positions 1183 to 2925 of the family's 2925-position model. Lineage: Bacteria; Pseudomonadati; Pseudomonadota; Gammaproteobacteria; Lysobacterales; Lysobacteraceae. The record is from RNAcentral.